GCAGGUUUAGUUCAAGUGGUAGAGUGUGUGCUUAGUGUGCACGAGGUCCUGGGUUCAAUUCCCCAGAACCUUUG
This 74-nucleotide transfer RNA is filed under the name Camelus bactrianus (Bactrian camel). It matches the Rfam family "tRNA". From Rfam's summary of the family: Transfer RNA (tRNA) molecules are approximately 80 nucleotides in length. Their secondary structure includes four short double-helical elements and three loops (D, anti-codon, and T loops). RNAcentral also lists the same sequence under 2 other names. Lineage: Eukaryota; Metazoa; Chordata; Mammalia; Artiodactyla; Camelidae. The record is from Rfam by way of RNAcentral.